GAUGAAGAACGCAGCGAAAUGCGAUAAGUAAUGUGAAUUGCAGAAUUCAGUGAAUCAUCGAAUCUUUGAACGCACAUUGCGCCCGCCAGUAUUCUGGCGGGCAUGCCUGUCCGAGCGUCAUUUCAACCCUCGAACCCCUCCGGGGGGUCGGCGUUGGGGAUCGGCCCUGCCUCUUGGCGGUGGCCGUCUCCGAAAUACAGUGGCGGUCUCGCCGCAGCCUCUCCUGCGCAGUAGUUUGCACACUCGCAUCGGGAGCGCGGCGCGUCCACAGCCGUUAAACACCCAACUUCUGAAAUGUUGACCUCGGAUCAGGUAGGAAUACCCGCUGAACUUAAGCAUAUCAUAAGCGGAGGA
RNAcentral lists this unclassified non-coding RNA (354 nucleotides) under soil metagenome. RNAcentral's name for it is "partial contains 5.8S ribosomal RNA, internal transcribed spacer 2, and large subunit ribosomal RNA". The stretch from base 1 to 120 matches the Rfam family "5.8S ribosomal RNA", at positions 35 to 154 of the family's 154-position model. The record is from RNAcentral.